ACAGGGACUACACGCCCGGCUAAUAUUUUUUCUUUGUAUUUUUAAAUAGAGACGGGGUUUCACCGUCUUAGCCAGGAUGGUCUUGAUCUCCUGACCUUGUGAUCCACCCGCCUCGGCCUCCCAAAGUGCUGGGAUUACAGGCGUGAGCCACCGCGCCCGGCCGAUCUGAUGAUUUUAUAAGGGGCACUUCCCCCUUCUCUCAGCAAUUCUCCUUGCUGCCUUGUGAAGAAGGUACUCUGCUUCCCCUUCACCUUCCGCCAUGAUUGUGAGUUUCCUUAGGCCUCCCAGCCUUGCUGAACUGACCAUUGGUUGAGUGUGUGCGUGGAGGGGAACAGAUGGAUGAACUGAUCCAGCGACUCCCAGGCUGAAAGAACUGAAUGUUCAAUGGUGUACUUAUAGACCACAUUAACUUCUUGGCAAGUGCUGCUGCUGCACAUGUGGGUGGUCCAUCGCUGAAUAUGAAUGUGCUGAAUAUCAUUUGGGCAAGGAGCAAGAGGUGUUCAAGUGAGUUGGAGAGAAGCCCAGAAGGUAUGCUGUUUAUCUUCUAGGAACAUUUAUUUUCUGCAAAACAUAUAACUUGAGUUAAUAAAGUAGAUUUAGAUGUGAAUAAAGGAAACCGGUUAUUGAACCUGCAUCACUGUGCCUCUCCAGGAAUAACUAAAAGUUUUGAAUUUGAAUCCUAGAACAAGAAAAAGAAUAGAGCACAAAUAACUGCUCUUAUCACCUUGCAAGGAAUCACUGGACUGGA
RNAcentral lists this long non-coding RNA (748 nucleotides) under Homo sapiens (human). RNAcentral describes it as "HSALNT0210446". The record is from RNAcentral. Lineage: Eukaryota; Metazoa; Chordata; Mammalia; Primates; Hominidae.